UACGGAGGGGGCUAGCGUUGUUCGGAAUUACUGGGCGUAAAGCGUACGUAGGCGGCUUUACAAGUCAGGGGUGAAAGCCCGCGGCUCAACCGCGGAAUUGCCCUUGAGACUGUAUCGCUUGAACACGGGAGAGGUGAGUGGAAUUCCGAGUGUAGAGGUGAAAUUCGUAGAUAUUCGGAAGAACACCAGUGGCGAAGGCGGCUCACUGGACCGUAGUUGACGCUGAGGUGCGAAAGCGUGGGGAGCAAACAGG
This 253-nucleotide ribosomal RNA is filed under the name uncultured bacterium. RNAcentral describes it as "partial 16S ribosomal RNA". It matches the Rfam family "Bacterial small subunit ribosomal RNA", at positions 524 to 776 of the family's 1533-position model. The record is from RNAcentral.